Molecule: ribosomal RNA, 745 nt
Filed under: uncultured bacterium
Lineage: Bacteria
Description: bacterial SSU rRNA
Rfam family: Bacterial small subunit ribosomal RNA
Source: RNAcentral
AGAGUUUGAUCAUGGCUCAGAGCGAACGCUGGCGGCAGGCUUAACACAUGCAAGUCGAGCGGGCGUAGCAAUACGUCAGCGGCAGACGGGUGAGUAACGCGUGGGAACGUACCUUUUGGUUCGGAACAACACAGGGAAACUUGUGCUAAUACCGGAUAAGCCCUUACGGGGAAAGAUUUAUCGCCGAAAGAUCGGCCCGCGUCUGAUUAGCUAGUUGGUGAGGUAAUGGCUCACCAAGGCGACGAUCAGUAGCUGGUUCUGAGAGGAUGAUCAGCCACAUUGGGACUGAGAUACGGCCCAAACUCCUACGGGAGGCAGCAGUGGGGAAUAUUGGACAAUGGGGGCAACCCUGAUCCAGCCAUGCCGCGUGAGUGAUGAAGGCCCUAGGGUUGUAAAGCUCUUUUGUGCGGGAAGAUAAUGACGGUACCGCAAGAAUAAGCCCCGGCUAACUUCGUGCCAGCAGCCGCGGUAAUACGAAGGGGGCUAGCGUUGCUCGGAAUCACUGGGCGUAAAGGGUGCGUAGGCGGGUCUUUAAGUCAGGGGUGAAAUCCUGGAGCUCAACUCCAGAACUGCCUUUGAUACUGAAGAUCUUGAGUUCGGGAGAGGUGAGUGGAACUGCGAGUGUAGAGGUGAAAUUCGUAGAUAUUCGCAAGAACACCAGUGGCGAAGGCGGCUCACUGGCCCGAUACUGACGCUGAGGCACGAAAGCGUGGGGAGCAAACAGGAUUAGAUACCCCCGUAGUCC